Molecule: ribosomal RNA, 253 nt
Filed under: uncultured bacterium
Lineage: Bacteria
Description: partial 16S ribosomal RNA
Rfam family: Bacterial small subunit ribosomal RNA
Source: RNAcentral
UACGGAGGGCGCAAGCGUUGUUCGGAAUUACUGGGCGUAAAGGGCGUGUAGGCGGCUUGGUAAGUCGGGUGUGAAAUCCCGAGGCUCAACCUCGGAACUGCAUUCGAAACUGCCUGGCUCGAGUCCCGGAGAGGGUGGCGGAAUUCCCAGUGUAGAGGUGAAAUUCGUAGAUAUUGGGAGGAACACCGGCGGCGAAGGCGGCCACCUGGACGGUGACUGACGCUGAGACGCGAAAGCGUGGGGAGCAAACAGG